GGGGGACUGGAACUAGUGACAAAAUUAAUCUACCGGGGUGGGCAUAGUAUGAGAAAUCGUCAAAAUAUCCGCAAUCAUCAAAGUAAAAUCGAAACUUUUUGAUACAUUUAUAAAAUUUAAAGGACCCUUUUUUUCCAAUGGAUUUUUUUCUCAUUCUUUUUCUUUUAAAAAAGCGUGCAUUUCUACAAGCUGCAAAAAAACUUAGGAGCCCUUCCCUGUUUUAGAUUUCGACCCAGAAUGCGUUGCGCACCUGUGGCUCUUCCCAGGCCCCUCUGCCGCGGUCGUUCUCUUUCGGCAGCCAUCCAAAAUGGGGAUCUCAAGAGACUCCUGGCAUAAGCACCGCGCCACCGGCGGCAAGAUGAAACCUCUUAGAAAGAAGAGGAAGUUUGAGCUUGGCCGCCCACCAGCGAACACCAAGAUCGGCACCAAACGUAUCCAUGAAGUCAGAACUCGUGGUGGCAACAGGAAAUUCAGGGCUCUUCGGCUUGACACUGGGAAUUUCUCCUGGGGAUCUGAGAGUAAGUGUUUUAGGCUGCAUUUCCACUAGUAUGAAAUACGAUUAUACUCUGAGUAUAAUUGAAAGUGUAUGUGAUGAUUAAAUGAUACUUGUUUGUACCA
Molecule: long non-coding RNA, 618 nt
Organism: Nematostella vectensis (starlet sea anemone)
Lineage: Eukaryota; Metazoa; Cnidaria; Anthozoa; Actiniaria; Edwardsiidae
Exons: 2
Source: RefSeq, a predicted model, not a curated record